This 172-nucleotide small RNA is filed under the name Arabidopsis thaliana (thale cress). Its description in RNAcentral is "ATSL229430". Lineage: Eukaryota; Viridiplantae; Streptophyta; Magnoliopsida; Brassicales; Brassicaceae. The record is from RNAcentral.
AAUCAUGUCUUGAUCCUAAUAACUACGGUCUCUGAAUUGCUGUAUAUUAUUAUUAUUACAGCAAGUACAAGUUAUACCGCAAGAUCAAAGUUCACGUUGAUGUGGAGAAAGUCAAGUCCUACUAGAUGUCUCUGAUAGGUGGUGGUGGAGAAAGUUCACGUUGAUCUAGAAA